AGUGAACGCUGGCGGUAGGCCUAACACAUGCAAGUCGAACGGCAGCACAGGAGAGCUUGCUCUCUGGGUGGCGAGUGGCGGACGGGUGAGGAAUACAUCGGAAUCUACUUUUUCGUGGGGGAUAACGUAGGGAAACUUACGCUAAUACCGCAUACGACCUACGGGUGAAAGCAGGGGACCUUCGGGCCUUGCGCGAUUGAAUGAGCCGAUGUCGGAUUAGCUAGUUGGCGGGGUAAAGGCCCACCAAGGCGACGAUCCGUAGCUGGUCUGAGAGGAUGAUCAGCCACACUGGAACUGAGACACGGUCCAGACUCCUACGGGAGGCAGCAGUGGGGAAUAUUGGACAAUGGGCGCAAGCCUGAUCCAGCCAUAUCGCGUGGGUGAAGAAGGCCUUCGGGUUGUAAAGCCCUCUUGUUGGGAAAGAAAUCCUGCUGGCUAAUACCCGGUUGGGAUGACGGUACCCAAAGAAUAAGCACCGGCUAACUUCGUGCCAGCCGCCGCAGUAA
RNAcentral lists this ribosomal RNA (506 nucleotides) under uncultured bacterium. RNAcentral describes it as "partial 16S ribosomal RNA". It matches the Rfam family "Bacterial small subunit ribosomal RNA", at positions 29 to 523 of the family's 1533-position model. The record is from RNAcentral.